CGAGUUAGGGAAGAGCUACUUCCAGGAGUACUGUGUGAACGUUGACUUCACCGAACUCUUUCAGUUAUACAAUCUCCGGGCCCUCGACAAAUCAAUCAUCAGUUGCUAUUGUCUAUCGAAGAUGCUCGAAUGCAAAAGGGACGAUAUCACAGACAUUGGGUUCAUUGACCCGCACACAAUGCAUGUUAAAACCAUAGAGAAUCCCCUCUAUAACAAGGAUACACCGCAGACUUUGCUAAGGUUUUUGAAGCGACAACGUGACAAAAAGCUAAUACUUUGGCCUUACAACUUCGAGUGAGUCUUACUGUCUUAUAACACAUUAUAUUUUGCUCACCGUAUGUCAAAAUUUUAACUAAUGACUUAUAUAUAUGACACUACAUAUUGAAACGUGCGUAGGUUUCACUUUAUUCUUCUCGUCAUCAAUUUGAAAAUUGGAGAAGUUGAAGUCUUGGACUCACUAAGCAAAAAAAAAAGGAUCUAUACGUGUCUUGUUUUUUAAUGCUCAGAAGGUAAUUUUAAUUCUUAUCGGUUUGUUUCGUUAAUUUCCUGCUUUGAACUAAUUGAUGACUCUUUUAUGCAUUUUCUUUUGUCGAGCAGCGUAUGGCAAACUUUCAUCAAGGAAGAUACGUCCCGUGAAUGGACACCGAAGCUGCGAUGGCGUGCGAAAAAAUGCCCGCAACAACCUCCGGGGACCGAUCUCUGUGGAUUCUUCGUUUGCGAGUACAUCCGCAGAAUUGUCAGCGAGAGAACGAAUAAUGAAAGAAAUAAAGAGUUGGCAAGAAAGCGGAACAAGCUCUCAAUCGAUGACCGCUUCAUAGCAAUAGGCGAGGAAUUGGCGGGAUUUUUCCUUCGGGACGUCAUACCACCACUCGCAGAGUACCACUAUGAAUGAAGAUGUACAUGUUACAUAUAUAGUUGACUCGAAGAGUACCACUAUGCUACAUGUAAUAGACAUAUAUAGAGUACGCCUCGGAGAGUACCACUAUGCAUGAAGAUCGAUCUUCAUGCAUAGUGCUACUUAAUUUGUGAUCU
Lolium perenne is the source of this 1032-nucleotide long non-coding RNA. RefSeq lists it as uncharacterized. The record is from RefSeq and is a predicted model, not a curated record. Lineage: Eukaryota; Viridiplantae; Streptophyta; Magnoliopsida; Poales; Poaceae.